AUCAAAUGUAUGCACACAGCUCAACCAUUGACAUUACUGAAUAACCUGGCAUGAGGGAAUGUAGCUAUGGAGGCAGGCUUAUGGUGGAGCAUUUAGCAAAAAUAUUUGUUUUGUGAAAAAACUAUACAUAUUUGAGAAUGCUCAAAAAUAUAGCAUUAUAAUAAAGUCUAAACCUAUUAAAUGCAUCAAAGUUGUAUUGGCGUCUCAAAUGUCCUGUGAAAA
Non-coding RNA from Pelobates cultripes (western spadefoot toad), 222 nucleotides. The record is from the annotation of a GenBank genome assembly. NCBI's taxonomy places the organism in Eukaryota, Metazoa, Chordata, Amphibia, Anura, Pelobatidae.